RNAcentral lists this unclassified non-coding RNA (155 nucleotides) under uncultured Helotiales. RNAcentral describes it as "sequence contains ITS1". Lineage: Eukaryota; Fungi; Ascomycota; Leotiomycetes; Helotiales. The record is from RNAcentral.
CCAGAUAGGAGCCCUUUGGGCGCUAUCCCCACCCGUGUCUACAUACUAUUGUUGCUUUGGCGGGCCGUGGCCUCCACUGCGGGUUCCGCUCGCAUGUGCCCGCCAGAGGAUCAAAAUCUGAAGUUUAGUGAUGUCUGAGUACUAUAUAAUAGUAA